AUGAGCAUCCAACAUGUCAUGGACCUUGUGAAAGCCAUCUUUCAUUACAAGGUUAUUGUUAGCCAUGGCCGCUACAAACCCGGGCAUGGUUCAUGUGGGGUCGAGCCUCAUGGGAAAAAAAUAACGGUUCAUGACGGAAGGAAAGUCCGAGUAUUUGGCCGUGCAUUUUGGGCGUUCGAGCAAUGCGUCAGUGCUUUCGAACACUGUAGGCCGGUCAUCGCCAUUGAUGGCACGUUCUUGACCGGACAAUACAAGGGCACCUUGUUGGUUGUGAUAGCAAGUGAUGCCAAUAACUGGGUGUUGCCAUUGACAUUUUCUUUGGUUGAGGUGGAGAACAAUGACAACUGGGAGUGGUUUUUGCGUCUUUUGAGGACGAAGUUGUCCGAUGAUCUUCAAGAUUGUUGUCUCGCUUUCUCCGACAAGCGGUUCACCACUUUGUACAACAAAUUGCUCGCACACAAAAAACUUGAUCCCGGGGAUCAAGACUUUCUCAAUAGGCACAUUCAAUACCGAAACAAGUGGGCACGUGCUUUUGAUGAAGAUGGCCGAAGAUAUGGUCAAAUGACAAGCAAUAUGGCCGAAUGCUUCAAGAGGGUGCUCAAGGGUGCACGUGCAUUACCCGUGACGGCAAUAGUUCAAUACACAUUUGACAAGAUGAAUGCGUACUUUCUAAAGUACUCAAUGGAAACGGAUGCACAAAUAGCGGGUGAGAACAAGCGCAAGUACAAGUACAAGUUCUCACCCAAGGUUGAUGAAUGGUUGGAAUUUCAAUCACGGAAGGCGGACUCACAAGAAGCUAUACUAUAUGACAAUGAAGAUUGGUUGUAUGAAGUGAAAGAGCAAGAAGAACCACAAACGAUGACCGCCAACAUGGAGGUCGGGCUUUCAAGGUCUCGCUAA
This 900-nucleotide ribosomal RNA is filed under the name Triticum aestivum (bread wheat). RNAcentral's name for it is "partial small subunit ribosomal RNA". The record is from RNAcentral. Lineage: Eukaryota; Viridiplantae; Streptophyta; Magnoliopsida; Poales; Poaceae.